This 1504-nucleotide long non-coding RNA is filed under the name Gossypium barbadense (sea-island cotton). RNAcentral's name for it is "long non-coding RNA (GBAR_LNC002898)". Lineage: Eukaryota; Viridiplantae; Streptophyta; Magnoliopsida; Malvales; Malvaceae. The record is from RNAcentral.
UAUUUUUUAAAAUUUAACUAUUGCCGGCCAUCAGUGUUCCAAAAAGAAUUUUGCAUUGGGACACGAAAAAAGUACCUAGUGCCGUCCAUUACAUAGCCAGCACCCAAAUUUUUUUUUUAAAUUUAAACUAGUGUUGGCCAUCAAUGUAAUAAAGUAAAAAAAAUUGCAUUGGGACACGAAAAAAGUACCUGAAUUUUUUUUAUACAUCUCUAGUGCCGACCAUUAAAUGGCCAGUACCAAUUUUUUUAUUUAAAUACUAGUAUUUUUGUAUACCAGUAUUGUAGGCACCCAAAUUUACUCGGGCCCAAAAUCAUUAAUCAACCCAAACACAAAACAGAAUAAAAAAAACAACAAAAAAAUCCAAUCUACAAAUGGCCUAAACAAAAAUUUUAAACCCCUAGCCCAAAACUCAGCUAGCCCGAUAGGCCCAAAACCCAAGCCAAUUUUGAAACCCUAGUCUCCCUUAGCGCCGUACCCUUCCCAUGUGCGUCGUCGGCGCAUCCAACGCCCGAGGUUUGGUUCCUCUCGGCCCCUGGUACCGCUUGCACCAAAAUAGCAGCUCCUGCCUCGUUGACUUUGCCUGCAAAAAAGGAAGAAACAGAAACAAGAACAAAAAGGGCAACAAAGAAACAACAGCAGAAAAAGUAGCAGAAACAUCAAAUUAGAGCAGUGUGAACAGUGGUUAAACAAUAGAAAAAUAAUGACUUGUAAAUCGGCUAUAUAAGACUGAAAAAAAAAGAUUCUGGAGGAUUGAGCAAUCAAAAUAGCAAGAAACUAAGGAAGGUUGAUUUUAUUUCCAUUUUCGUUUUAAGUUCUAAUUUCAUUUAUUCUGUUUUUAUUUUUAUUUUUUUAUAUACGAAAAUAAAUAAAAGAAAAGAGAAAGGGGUCUUACCGAGACCACCCCGUGGCCACAACGUCGGAGUUCUCCUCUCCGUCGCCGUAGUCGAAUUUGAAAGGGGAAAGUGAACCCUUCUCUUUUGCGUUUUUAGGCCGAGAAAGAACGGCCUUCGAGGGGGUCUUUAACCGGGGAUAGAAGGCCCGACUCGCACCGCCCCAACCACCGCUGUGGUGGCGCCGUGACAACGGUGGCGAUGAUAAGUUUCCAAAACCCUAGCUGAAAAGAGAAGGGGAGAGGGAGAGAGCAAAAGCUCUCUGUUUUGUUCUUUAAAAAUGAAAAAAUGAAAUUUUUUUAAAAAAUUUUGGCUUUAAUAGCCAUGCAAAACGGUGACGUUUUGCAAUCCCCCCACACGCCUCAAAACGGCGUAGUUUAGGGGGGAACCCUUGCGACCCGACCCGUUUAGCGGAUAAUCCGUGCGUUUUAAAGCCAAAUUGGCUAUUUGCGCUGUGGGUCCUCCCGCUUUGUCAUUUGUUUACUAUUUGAUCCUUUUGCUCUUUCUUUUGGGUUUUUAAUUUAACCCCAUGACUUUGCUGAGUUUUUCAAUCGGAUCCUCCCACCCAUUGGCACGUUGCGAGCGAACACGUGUCCAGAGGCUGGGUAUUUUGC